This 497-nucleotide ribosomal RNA is filed under the name uncultured bacterium. RNAcentral's name for it is "partial 16S ribosomal RNA". It matches the Rfam family "Bacterial small subunit ribosomal RNA", at positions 28 to 507 of the family's 1533-position model. The record is from RNAcentral.
GAUGAACGCUGGCGGCGUGCCUAAUACAUGCAAGUCGAGCGAACAGACGAGGAGCUUGCUCCUCUGACGUUAGCGGCGGACGGGUGAGUAACACGUGGAUAACCUACCUAUAAGACUGGGAUAACUUCGGGAAACCGGAGCUAAUACCGGAUAAUAUAUUGAACCGCAUGGUUCAAUAGUGAAAGACGGUUUUGCUGUCACUUAUAGAUGGAUCCGCGCCGCAUUAGCUAGUUGGUAAGGUAACGGCUUACCAAGGCAACGAUGCGUAGCCGACCUGAGAGGGUGAUCGGCCACACUGGAACUGAGACACGGUCCAGACUCCUACGGGAGGCAGCAGUAGGGAAUCUUCCACAAUGGACGCAAGUCUGAUGGAGCAACGCCGCGUGAGUGAAGAAGGUUUUCGGAUCGUAAAGCUCUGUUGUUGGUGAAGAAGGUUAGAGGUAGUAACUGGCCUUUAUUUGACGGUAAUCAACCAGAAAGUCACGGCUAACUACGUG